This 422-nucleotide ribosomal RNA is filed under the name Chroococcidiopsis sp. CYAP16. RNAcentral describes it as "bacterial SSU rRNA". It matches the Rfam family "Bacterial small subunit ribosomal RNA", at positions 356 to 795 of the family's 1533-position model. The record is from RNAcentral. Lineage: Bacteria; Bacillati; Cyanobacteriota; Cyanophyceae; Chroococcidiopsidales; Chroococcidiopsidaceae.
GGGGGAUUUGCAAUGGGCGAAAGCCUGACGGAGCAAUACCGCGUGAGGGAGGAAGGCUCUUGGGUCGUAAACCUCUUUUCUCAGGGAAGAACAAAAUGACGGUACCUGAGGAAUAAGCAUCGGCUAACUCCGUGCCAGCAGCCGCGGUAAUACGGAGGAUGCAAGCGUUAUCCGGAAUGAUUGGGCGUAAAGCGUCCGCAGGUGGCAUUGCAAGUCUGCUGUCAAAGGUCAGGGCUUAACCCUGAAAAGGCAGUGGAAACUGAAAUGCUGGAGUGCGGUAGGGGUAGAGGGAAUUCCCGGUGUAGCGGUGAAAUGCGUAGAGAUCGGGAAGAACACCAGUGGCGAAGGCGCUCUACUAGGCCGCAACUGACACUCAUGGACGAAAGCUAGGGGAGCGAAUGGGAUUAGAUACCCCAGUAGUC